Molecule: long non-coding RNA, 503 nt
Organism: Sinocyclocheilus grahami
Lineage: Eukaryota; Metazoa; Chordata; Actinopteri; Cypriniformes; Cyprinidae
Exons: 4
Source: RefSeq, a predicted model, not a curated record
CUCCAGGCUGACUAUCUGUGACAUCCUGGGAAAACAUUGAUGCCUUUUAAGAACCCACAACCACUUUUCCUAUUCGACUAAGUGGGAUUUGCAGAUUACAGCAAAAUCUGAGGUGGCUGCUGAAGCGCCUGUAAUGUCUGCUGGGAUAGCCAUGUUUACUACCCUCAACCUCAGGCUGUUCCCUACUGAGAGCUUCAUGCCCAACAAGGGUGCAGCACACCGAAUCCCCCCUGAAUCAGGAACUCACGGACAUCUGUAAACUCAGCUGUGUUGGAUUGCGACCUUGCCUUUAUCAGAAAAUAGGGGUGUGCAGUUAAGCUAUCUCUAUACAGGAGAUUACAUGCCUCAUUGCUCCCGUCCUCCAUCACAGACUGAACAGAGCAUAUGCAGGGAGUUGCGCUGUGUUUACCACAACCACGCGGUCUCUCCGUUAUAGAAGAACACUGUGAUGACAGGUAUUCCAGUCCUUGAUUUUGAGCCCCGUUACGACAUCUCUCCUCCCU